GCCUCUUUAGCUCAGUGGUAGAGCGUUGGUCUCGUAAAUCAAAGGCCGAGAGUUCAAUCCUCUUAGGAGGCA
This 72-nucleotide transfer RNA is filed under the name Daphnia pulex (common water flea). RNAcentral describes it as "tRNA-Thr". It matches the Rfam family "tRNA". From Rfam's summary of the family: Transfer RNA (tRNA) molecules are approximately 80 nucleotides in length. Lineage: Eukaryota; Metazoa; Arthropoda; Branchiopoda; Diplostraca; Daphniidae. The record is from RNAcentral.